GUCCUUUGUGUGGGUAUUCAGUUGAGUAGGUGUCUCAUCUUUUUGUCACUUGUGAUUUAACUCUAUAUGUGUGGUAUAUGAUCUUCUAGUGAUUGGGUUAACAAGUUUAUGAUUAUUUUAAGUUUUUCCCUCUCUUUAGGUUGUAGGGGUAAGUCUAUGGAUGACUUUUCUAUGAUCUGGUACGUUGUUGUCUAGUGUAUUUGGAGAGCUUACAAUGAUGUCAUCUCUAACGGUGUUUUUAAAACUCUGAAAGAAGUGGAGGAGAAGAGUAUUUUUUUUGCCUGGAAAUGGUUACUACAAAGUGUAGGGUGAACUUAUAUACUUUAUCUAAGUGGAUUCAAAACCCUAUCCUCUGCCUUAAUCGUACCCGAUUAAUUAUUCGCCUUGGUUUCAUGGUUGGGACCGGUUUAUGGUUUUGUUGCUCUCUUGGUGGCUUUUGAUCUGUUGAUGGUGGUUUUGGCAGUUUGAGCUCUAGCGUGAGGCCUAAGGGAUUGAGCUUCUUGGCUGCUUAGGAUUUUAGUUGUGGGGUUACUUUGGCCUACUUAGUUGUAGUGUUGUUUAUGUUGGUUGUUUAGGUUCUUUUAUGUUUCUUUUUGCUUUUUUGGUUGUAUUUUUUACACUUAUUGUGGUCAGGGACGCUUAUUUUUGUACUUUGGUUAUUCUCACCUUUUAUUAUAUUAUAUAUUAUUUUUGAAAUUUUUGAAUUUUUUUU
RNAcentral lists this long non-coding RNA (712 nucleotides) under Lathyrus oleraceus (garden pea). RNAcentral describes it as "Pisum sativum (pea) long non-coding RNA (PSAT_LNC025687)". Lineage: Eukaryota; Viridiplantae; Streptophyta; Magnoliopsida; Fabales; Fabaceae. The record is from RNAcentral.